This 468-nucleotide ribosomal RNA is filed under the name uncultured bacterium. Its description in RNAcentral is "partial 16S ribosomal RNA". It matches the Rfam family "Bacterial small subunit ribosomal RNA", at positions 28 to 507 of the family's 1533-position model. The record is from RNAcentral.
GACGAACGCUGGCGGCGUGCUUAACACAUGCAAGUCGAACGGAAAGGCUCCAGCUUGCUGGAGUUCUCGAGUGGCGAACGGGUGAGUAACACGUGGGUGAUCUGCCCUGCACUUCGGGAUAAGCCUGGGAAACUGGGUCUAAUACCGGAUAGGACCGCACUUUGGUGUGUGUGGUGGAAAGGUUUUUCUGGUGUGGGAUGAGCUCGCGGCCUAUCAGUUUGUUGGUGGGGUAAUGGCCUACCAAGACGGCGACGGGUAGCCGGCCUGAGAGGGUGGACGGUCACAUUGGGACUGAGGUACGGCCCAGACGCCGACGGGAGGCAGCAGGGGGGAAUAUUGCACAAUGGGGGAAACCCUGAUGCAGCGACGCCGCGGGGGGGAUGAAGGCCUUCGGGUUGUAAACUCCUUUCGCUAGGGACGAAGCUUUUUGUGACGGUACCUGGAGAAGAAGCACCGGCUAACUACGUG